This 292-nucleotide ribosomal RNA is filed under the name uncultured bacterium. RNAcentral's name for it is "partial 16S ribosomal RNA". RNAcentral also lists the same sequence under 2 other names. The record is from RNAcentral.
GGACUACAGGGGUAUCUAAUCCCGUUUGCUCCCCUGGCUUUCGCGCCUCAGCGUCAGAAGAGGUCCAGCGCGCCGCUUUCGCCACCGGUGUUCCUUCCGAUAUCUACGCAUUUCACCGCUCCACCGGAAGUUCCGCACGCCCCUACCUCCCUCGAGACUCGCAGUAUCAAAGGCACUUCUCCAGUUGAGCUGGAGGCUUUCACCCCUGACUGGCGAGCCCGCCUACGCGCCCUUUAAGCCCAGUGAUUCCGAACAACGUUCGCACGGUUCGUCUUACCGCGGCGGCUGGCAC